Molecule: ribosomal RNA, 549 nt
Filed under: uncultured archaeon
Lineage: Archaea
Description: bacterial SSU rRNA
Rfam family: Archaeal small subunit ribosomal RNA
Source: RNAcentral
CGGGGUGCGCAGGCGCGAAAACUUUACAAUGCGGGAAACCGUGAUAAGGGGACACCGAGUGCCAGCAUCAUAUGCUGGCUGUCCGGGUGUGUAAAAUACACCCGUUAGCAAGGGCCGGGCAAGACCGGUGCCAGCCGCCGCGGUAACACCGGCGGCCCGAGUGGUGAUCGUGAUUAUUGGGUCUAAAGGGUCCGUAGCCGGUUUGGUCAGUCCUCCGGGAAAUCUGACGGCUUAACCGUUAGGCUUUCGGGGGAUACUGCCAGGCUUGGAACCGGGAGGUAAGAGGUACUACAGGGGUAGGAGUGAAAUCUUGUAAUCCCUGUGAGACCACCUGUGGCGAAGGCGUCUUACCAGAACGGGUUCGACGGUGAGGGACGAAAGCUGGGGGCACGAACCGGAUUAGAUACCCGGGUAGUCCCAGCCGUAAACGAUGCUCGCUAGGUGUCAGGCAUGGCGCGACCGUGUCUGGUGCCGCAGGGAAGCCGUGAAGCGAGCCACCUGGGAAGUACGGCCGCAAGGCUGAAACUUAAAGGAAUUGGCGGGGGAGCA